This 330-nucleotide ribosomal RNA is filed under the name uncultured fungus. RNAcentral describes it as "LSU rRNA". It matches the Rfam family "Eukaryotic large subunit ribosomal RNA", at positions 320 to 667 of the family's 3401-position model. Lineage: Eukaryota; Fungi. The record is from RNAcentral.
AUAUUGGCCAGAGACCGAUAGCGCACAAGUAGAGUGAUCGAAAGAUGAAAAGCACUUUGGAAAGAGAGUCAAACAGCACGUGAAAUUGUUGAAAGGGAAGCGCUUGCAGCCAGACUUGCUUGCAGUUGCUCAUCCGGGCUUUUGCCCGGUGCACUCUUCUGCAGGCAGGCCAGCAUCAGUUUGGGCGGUAAGAUAAAGGUCUCUGUCACGUACCUCUCUUCGGGGAGGCCUUAUAGGGGAGACGACAUAUUACCAGCCUGGACUGAGGUCCGCGCAUCUGCUAGGAUGCUGGCGUAAUGGCUGUAAGCGGCCCGUCUUGAAACACGGACC